ACGCUCGACACCUACGGAGGCAGCAGUGGGGAAUAUUGCACAAUGGGGGAAACCCUGAUGCAGCGACGCCGCGUGAGUGAAGAAGUAUUUCGGUAUGUAAAGCUCUAUCAGCAGGGAAGAAGAUGACGGUACCUGAGUAAGAACGCCCGGCUAACUACGUGCGAGCAGCCGCGGUAAUCUGGAGCGGGCUGGCAAGGC
This 198-nucleotide ribosomal RNA is filed under the name uncultured bacterium. Its description in RNAcentral is "partial 16S ribosomal RNA". It matches the Rfam family "Bacterial small subunit ribosomal RNA", at positions 328 to 539 of the family's 1533-position model. The record is from RNAcentral.